The sequence is a ribosomal RNA, 780 nucleotides long. The stretch from base 305 to 780 matches the Rfam family "Eukaryotic large subunit ribosomal RNA", at positions 665 to 926 of the family's 3401-position model.
GGGACGUAACAAAGCGACCCAGGAAUGCUUGGGCGUGCCUCCACCCACGCCGGCGUCGGCGGGCGUAUUUCGCCUCACAGUAGGUCGCCGCGACCCGUUGCUUUUGGGGACGUCGAAGGCCCGGACGGAUUGGUACCCUACCGGCUGGGGAUGCGGCUUCGGCUUCUCCUCUUGUCCGGUGGGCGAAACCGCCGGUGUCCUGGCUGCCCUGCGACGGUCGUAGAGACGAGCCCUCCCCUUCGGGGGGGCGGCUCUCGCGGCGUGCAAAAGGUCGGUGAUCCACCCGACCCGUCUUGAAACACGGACCAAGGAGUCUAACAUGUGUGCGAGUCAGUGGGCGCACUAAACCCAGAGGCGUAAUGAAAGUGACACGGGUUCGGCUGUCGCCUCGUGUGGCAGCCGGACUCAGGGCCGAUCCCUCACCGGUUGCCCUCGCCUCUCUCCCGCGUCUCGGUAAGCCGGGUGAGCUAUUUUCCCCGGCCGCUGCUGCGGGGCGCGGGGGGAGGCGGGGUGCGAUGGUGUCCGUAAAAAAGAGCCUGCUGUUGCAGGGGGGCGCAGGCCCGGGACUUGCCAGGACGCCGCGAGACUGUCACUUUGCUGUGAGGCUCUCGGGCCGAUCAGCGGGUCAUGCGUGCAGUCGGCAAGUACCAUGAGCAGACAUGUUGGGACCCGAAAGAUGGUGAACUAUGCCUGGCCAGGAUGAAGCCAGAGGAAACUCUGGUGGAGGUCCGUAGCGAUUCUGACGUGCAAAUCGAUCGUCGGAGCUGGGUAUAGGGGCGA